AAGAUCUUAAGUUAAAAAAACUAAUAGCCUUCAAAGCUAUAAAUAAAAGAAAUUUAGAUCUUA
This 63-nucleotide transfer RNA is filed under the name Cermatobius longicornis. Its description in RNAcentral is "tRNA-Trp". The record is from RNAcentral. Lineage: Eukaryota; Metazoa; Arthropoda; Chilopoda; Lithobiomorpha; Henicopidae.